Glycine max (soybean) is the source of this 120-nucleotide non-coding RNA. NCBI's taxonomy places the organism in Eukaryota, Viridiplantae, Streptophyta, Magnoliopsida, Fabales, Fabaceae. The record is from Rfam.
UUCUUAUUGGAUGAUGACUGUCAUGUGUCAUGUUGUGAUUGGAUGUCAACUCUAUGAAAGAUAAAAUAAAUUGUUGUUUUUAUUGACCAAUCAUAACAUGACACGUAGCAGUCAUCAUCC